AGCGAACGCUGGCGGCGUGCCUAACACAUGCAAGUCGAGCGCGGGCAUUUCGGGGGUAACCCGGGACGUGUGCUGAGCGGCGGACGAGUGAGUAAUACGUGGACAACCUGCCUUAAAGACUUGGGAGUAAACUCCGGGGAAACGUAGGAGCUAAUACCGGAUAAGACCACGGUGUCUAUGGAUGCUGAGGUAAAAGGACGGCCAGGAAACUGGCUGUUGCUUAAAGAUGGGUCCACGUCCCAUCAGGUAGUUGGUGAGGUAAAGGCUCACCAAGCC
RNAcentral lists this ribosomal RNA (276 nucleotides) under uncultured bacterium. Its description in RNAcentral is "partial 16S ribosomal RNA". It matches the Rfam family "Bacterial small subunit ribosomal RNA", at positions 29 to 274 of the family's 1533-position model. The record is from RNAcentral.